AGGACGAACGCUGGCGGCGUGCUUAACACAUGCAAGUCGAGCGGAAAGGCCCUUCGGGGUACUCGAGCGGCGAACGGGUGAGUAACACGUGAGUAAUCUGCCCAUAGCUCUGGGAUAGCUCCGGGAAACCGGGAUUAAUACCAGAUACGACCACUUUAGACAUCUGUUGUGGUGGAAAGAAUUUCGGCUAGGGAUGAGCUCGCGGCCUAUCAGCUUGUUGGUGAGGUAACGGCUCACCAAGGCGACGACGGGUAGCCGGCCUGAGAGGGCGACCGGCCACACUGGGACUGAGACACGGCCCAGACUCCUACGGGAGGCAGCAGUGGGGAAUAUUGCGCAAUGGGCGAAAGCCUGACGCAGCGACGCCGCGUGGGGGAUGAAGGCCUUCGGGUUGUAAACCCUUUCAGCAGGGACGAAGCGAAAGUGACGGUACCUGCAGAAGAAGCGCCGGCUAACUACGUGCCAGCAGCCGC
RNAcentral lists this ribosomal RNA (473 nucleotides) under uncultured bacterium. Its description in RNAcentral is "SSU rRNA". It matches the Rfam family "Bacterial small subunit ribosomal RNA", at positions 26 to 518 of the family's 1533-position model. The record is from RNAcentral.